Long non-coding RNA from Procambarus clarkii (red swamp crayfish), 1372 nucleotides. RefSeq lists it as uncharacterized. NCBI's taxonomy places the organism in Eukaryota, Metazoa, Arthropoda, Malacostraca, Decapoda, Cambaridae. The record is from RefSeq and is a predicted model, not a curated record.
UGUAUGUAUGUACCUUACCUAAAUAAAUUGUAUUGUAUUGUAGUAAAAUAUAUUUACACAAUAAUUGGAUCCCUUGCUUAUGCGUCAGCAUUUUUUCUUUUUCUUUUUUGUAGAUAAGAAUAUAUUUGAUGUUUUUCGUUUUAUUUUGAACAUUUUCAUGGCUCGUUGAGAUUCCUGCUCUAGACUGAUGAUAUUCUGAAGGCGGGAGAAGGGCGGAGUGCUGGAGAAUGAUGACGGUGAAGGUGAGUGCUGGAGGAUGAUGACGGUGAAGGUGAAGGCGAGUGCUGGAGGAUGACGGUGAAGGGGAGUGCUGGAGGAUGACGGGGCAAGCAGAGGGAACGUUUCAAUAACACUGGGAAAAUAGUGACGGGAACUCCAAGCAGGACAACUUGUUGUGUCUCAGUCAAGGACACGAUCAGAAAAUGACAACAAAUCAUUUUGCUGUUGUUGGUUGAGGGCAUUUUCCAUAAUUUGUCCAGGAGUAUAUAACCUGCUGGAGCCGAGAGUCCGUCACCACUGUCCUCAGCAAGUCUAACAUGCAGACAACACUCAGUGAGCGCCGUGCUCCUAGCAGUGGUGACAGGUAGCCCCCUCCAGAGCUCGUCACUGCAGCUCACCAACACACCGACACAAGAUACCAAUCUGGCGCCAAUUUACACGUCGGACGAGGAGCUUGAUCAAUAUUUGGUGCUAGACGAGGGACGAGAACCGUCCCUAAACUCUGGUGAAGAUAUGGUUUGAGUCAUGAACGAAGAAAGCGACAGACCACGGUAUCCGGAUCCGCCAACACUGAUCGCCUGGGUGGUGAGGCUCGGCGAGACAGCGCUAGCAUCAACUUGGGUCACACCUUCGACAAACACACAAUCCAAGGCGGCCUCAAUGUUGACCGCACCAAAGUUCCCGGCCUUGGGAGCGAGAGGAACGUGGGAGCCAAUUUGGGUUAAGAGUUAAAGCCUAAUAAACGGACCUCCAUCACCGCCGGUGUUCAACACUCCCGGGGUGGAGGCGGCAGGUCCAACAGUUUUGGAGUUGGUUUCAGUUACACGUUCGGCCGGAAGAGGAGAUCCACAGAACUUGUAAAUAACGUCUUGUGAAGAAGUGAAAGUUGAGUGUUCCUGAGAUGCCAGCGUUCCUCUUCAGUGUUACUAGAGGGCCUCCAGAGACCCACGUCUAACUAGUCCUGUCAACGCCUCUCAUAGGCCUACUUUGGCCUGGAAGCAAUUGGUACUGUGGGUGAGAGGGAAUUCCUAGUCCAGGGAUUCGAAUCCUACUCUGCAUUAAUAAUUUUGGAUAUGUUGUAUUAAGGCAUUAUGAACUUUAGUUUGAUUAUGACUUUAGUAUUGAUAUUGUCUCUUGUUAUAUUUUUCUUCAA